Molecule: transfer RNA, 72 nt
Filed under: Arsenophonus endosymbiont of Bemisia tabaci Asia II 3
Lineage: Bacteria; Pseudomonadati; Pseudomonadota; Gammaproteobacteria; Enterobacterales; Morganellaceae
Description: tRNA-Glu
Rfam family: tRNA
About the family: Transfer RNA (tRNA) molecules are approximately 80 nucleotides in length. Their secondary structure includes four short double-helical elements and three loops (D, anti-codon, and T loops).
Source: RNAcentral
GUCCCCUUCGUCUAGAGGCCUAGGACAUCGCCCUUUCACGGCGGUAACAGGGGUUCGAAUCCCCUAGGGGAC